GACGAACGCUGGCGGCGUGCCUAAUACAUGCAAGUAGAACGCACAGUUUAUACCGUAGCUUGCUACACCAUAGACUGUGAGUUGCGAACGGGUGAGUAACGCGUAGGUAACCUGCCUGGUAGCGGGGGAUAACUAUUGGAAACGAUAGCUAAUACCGCAUAAUAUUGAUUAUUGCAUGAUAAUUGAUUGAAAGAUGCUAUUGCAUCACUACCAGAUGGACCUGCGUUGUAUUAGCUAGUAGGCGAGGUAACGGCUCACCUAGGCGACGAUACAUAGCCGACCUGAGAGGGUGAUCGGCCACACUGGGACUGAGACACGGCCCAGACUCCUACGGGAGGCAGCAGUAGGGAAUCUUCGGCAAUGGACGAAAGUCUGACCGAGCAACGCCGCGUGAGUGAAGAAGGUUUUCGGAUCGUAAAGCUCUGUUGUAAGAGAAGAACGGGUGUGAGAGUGGAAAGUUCACACUGUGACGGUAUCUUACCAGAAAGGGACGGCUAACUACGUG
RNAcentral lists this ribosomal RNA (505 nucleotides) under uncultured bacterium. RNAcentral describes it as "partial 16S ribosomal RNA". It matches the Rfam family "Bacterial small subunit ribosomal RNA", at positions 28 to 507 of the family's 1533-position model. The record is from RNAcentral.